UGCCUGGUGGUAUCAGGACACACAGAGGCAAAAUUCCUCUGGGACCAGACACCUCGGUUUCUAGCUGGAGCCUGAAGCUCCCUGAUCCUGGCCCGCAGCUCCCUGCUUCCAAACUCCAUGGGAGAGAAAGCUCAUUGCCCAGACAGGUGGGCACUCAUGAGAGUGCAGGGCAGGAGAGAACGUGACCUGGCUGGUGGACUCAGGACACACACCCACAGGAAGAGUUGAAGACAAGUAGACAGGAAUGAAUAAAUGCCUGAAAACAGAAAACUCUGUCCCCAUAACUGGCUGAAAGAAAACAGGAAAACAGGUCUACAGCACUCCUGACACACAGGCUUAUAGGACAGUCAAGCCACUGUCAAAAGGAGCAGAACAAGGUAACACCAGAGACAACGUGAUGGCAAGAGGCAAGCACAGGAAAACAAGCAACAGAAACCAAGACUACACAGCAUCAUCAGAGCCCAAUUCUCCCACCAAAGCAAACACAGAAUAUCAAAACAAACAAGAAAAGCAAGAUCAAGUUUUAAAAUCACAUUUGAUCAUAUGAUGGAGGACUUCAAGAAAGACAUAAAGAAACUCACUUAAAGAAAUGCAAGAAAACACAAAUAGACAAGCAGAAGCCUAUAGAGAGAAGAGGAGCAGGAGGAGUUAGGAGGAUGUUGUCCUGGAAUCCAGGAAAGGGAUUGACAAUUGAAAUGUAAAUAAGAAAUACCCAAGUUAAUAAAGAUGGAAAAAAUGUAUUGUAGAGAUCAGAACUUCAAGGCCCAUACCUAAAUAUAAAUAAAAUCAAUUCAGAGCUAACAAACCACCAAUUUCAAAUUAAAUAGAAAAAAUACUUGAAGCAAUCCCACUAAAAUCAGGGACAAAAUAAGAAUGCCCACUCUCCCAAUAUCUAGUCAAUAUAGUACUGGGAGCUGUAGUUAGAGCAAUAAGACCAUGAAAGUGGGUUAAGGGAAUGCAGAUUUUAAAAGAAUAUUUCAAAGUAUCAGUAUUUACAGAAGAUAUGAGAGUAUACAUAAGCAAUCUCCAAAAUUCUACCAGAUAACUUCUACAGCUUAUAAACAACCAUGAAAGUGACUGGAUAUAAAAUUAAAUCAAAUUAGUAGCCUUUUAUUAUACAAAUGUUAAGUGGGCUGAGAAAGAAAUUAGGGAAACAGCACCCUUCACAAUAUUCAUAAGUAAUAUAAAAUAUCUUGGGAUAACUCUAACCAAACAAGUGAAAGAGCUGUAUGACAAUAACUUUAGGUCUCUCAAGAAAGAAAACGAAAAUCUCAGAAAAUGAAGAAAUUUCCCAUGAUCAUGGAUUGACAGAAUUAACAUAGCAAAACUCAUGAUCUUAUCAUAAGUAAUGUAUGGAUUCAACACAAUCCCCAUCAAAAUCACACCCAAAUUUUUCAAAGACAUGGAAAGGCAAUUGACAAAUUCAUCUGGAAAUGCAAACAUCUCAGAAUAGUGAAAACAAGUCUUAACAAUAAGAGAACUUCUUGGGGAAUCACCAUGUCUGACCUCAAGUAAUACUACAGAGAAAUAGUGACAAGCAGCAUAAUAUUGGUACAGAGAAACCAGGUUGAUCAGUGGAAUAGAAUUAAAGAUCAAGAAAUAAAACCACACACUUAUGGACACCUAAUCUUCGACAAAGAAACCAAAAAUAUACAAUGCAUAAAAGAAAGCAUCUCCAAUGAAUGGGGAUGGUCUAACUGGCUAUCUGUAUGUGGAAAAAUGAAAAUAGACCCAUAUUUGUCACCUCAAGUCCAAAUGAAUCAAAGAACUCAAUACAAAACCAGAUACACUGAAUCUAAUAGAAGAGAAAAUUCUAAGGAGUCUCAAACACAUUGACACUGUGAGAAACUUCCUAAAAAGAACACCGAUGGCUCAGGCUCUAAGAUCACGAAUUGAUAAGUGGAGCCCCAUGAAUGAGCAAAGCUUCUGUAAGGCAAAGAACACAAUCAAUAGUAAAAUCAGCAACCUACAGAUUGGAAAAAAAAUCUUUACUAACCCCUCAUCUGAUAAAAGUCUAAUAUCUAAAAUAUAUGAAUAACUCAAGAAAGUAGCCACCAAACAAGCAAACAAUACAAUACAAUACAGUGAAAAAAUGGGGUAUAGAAUGAAACAGAGAAUUCACAACAGAGGAAUCUUGAAGGGCUGAGAAGUACUUAAAGAAAUUUUCAAAGUGCAUAGUGAUCAGGGAAAUGCAAAUUAAAGUAGCAUGAGAUUGCACCUUACACCAAUCGGAAUGGCUAAGAUCAAAAUUCAGGUGACAACACAUGCUGGAGAGAAUGUUGGAAAAGGGCAACACUCUUCCAUUGCUGGUGGGAUUACAAACCAGUACAUCCACUCUGGAAAUAAAUCUAGAUUUUCCUCAGAAAACUGGAAAUAGGUCUACCUGAAGACAUAGCCAUACCACUCUUGGACAUAUACCCAAUAGAUGCCCCACCAUGCCACAGUGGCACAUGCUCCACUCUGUUUACAGAAGCCUUAUUUGUGAGAGACAGAAGCUGGAAAUGAACCAGAUGUCCCACAAUGGAAAAAUGGAUACAGAAAAGGUGGUUCAUUUACACCAUGGUAUACUACUCAGCUAUUAAGAAUGAGGACAUCGUGAGAUUUGCAGGACAAUGGAUGGAACUAGAAAGUAUCAUCCAGAGUGAGGUAACUCAAACCCAAAAGGAUAUGCAUAGUAUAUACUCACAAAGUGGAUAUUAGCCAAAAAGUACACAACACCUAGAGUAUAACCUACAGACUGUAAGAAGUAUAUUAAGAAGAAAUGCCCAAGUGAGGAGGCUUCAAUCCCACUUAGAAAUCAGAAGGACAUAAUUGUAAGAGGUGGACGAAGGGAAUAGUCUGGGUGUCAGAAGGGAGGAGAAAUGGAAAGGGAGAGCAGGAUCAAUAUGGGGGCAGAUGAGAAGCCGAAAGGGCCAAGAUUAUGGGGUGGUAGUUACAGGGAUCCUCUAGAAAGUGAAUCACGGCUGCCGCCGCGGAGAGCUCAUAAGCAACACCCCACGAGCAAACUUGAGCCUUGGGACUGCAAGUAAGACCAACUUUUCUGCUGCAAGUGACAUGACUGGUGGCCUUGGGACACACAGAGGCAAAAUUCCUCUAGGACCGGACACUUCCGGUUUUUAGCAGGAGUCCCAAUCUCACUCUCCCUGCCUCCAGAUCUCUGCUCCCAAACCCCGUGGGAGAGAGAGCUCACCGCCAAGACAGGUGGGCAAUCCUGAGAUUGCAGAGCUGAAGAGACCAACAACACUGCCCACCCCUGCCCACAUCCAAGAGGAAACGGUAUACUGCCUCUGGGUUCCUGGAGAUAAGGGACAGGAGCAGCAGGUCCCCUGCAUCUGAGACACUGCCGGAACCUGAAGGGACUGACCAGAUAAAGAGUUCUCUGCACCCAAAUCCCGUGGGAGGGAGAGCUAAACCUUCAGAGAGGCAGACACGCCUGGGAAACUAGAAGAGACUACACUCGGCCCACAUCAAUGACUCCAGAGGAAAACACCAAACUCCAUCUGGAACCCUGGUGCACUGAAGUUCCCGGAAAGGGCGGCGCAGAUCUUCCUGGUUGCUGCCGCCACGGAGAGCUCAUAAGCAACACCCCACAAGCAAACUUGAGCCUCGGGACCACAGGUAAGACAAACCUUCCAGCUCCUAGCGAACUGCCUGGUAAACUCAAGACACAGGCCCACAGGAACAGCUGAAGACCUGUAGGUAGUAAAAACUACACGCCCGAAAGCAGAAAACUCUGUCCCCAUAACUGGCUGAAAGAAAACAGGAAAACAGGUCUACAGCACUCCUGACACACAGGCUUAUAGGACAGUCUAGCCACUGUCAGAAAUAGCAGAACAAAGUAACUCUAGAGAUAAUCUGAUGGUGAGAGGCAAGCGCAGGAACCCAAGCAACAGAAACCAAGACCACAUGGCAUCAUCGGAGCCCAAUUCCCCCACCAAAGCAAACACGGAAUAUCCAAACACAACAGAAAAGCAAGAUCUAGUUUCAAAAUCAUAUUUGCUCAUGCUGCUGGAGGACUACAAGAAAGACAUGAAGUACUCCCUUACAGAAACGCAGGAAAACAUAAAUAAACAAGUAGAGGCCUACAGAGAGGAAUCAAAAAAUUCCCGGAAAGAAUUCCAGGAAAACAUAAACAAGUAGAAGCCUAUAGAGGGGAAUCAUAAAAAUCCCUGAAAGAAUUCCAGGAAAACACAAUCAAACAGUUGAAGGAAUUAAAAAUGGAAAUAGAAGCAAUCAAGAAAGAACACAUGGAAACAACCCUGGAUAUAGAAAACCAAAGGAAGAGACAAGGAGCCGUAGAUACAAGCAUCACCAACAGAAUACAAGAGAUAGAAGAGAGAAUCUCAGGAGCAGAAGAUUCCAUAGAAAUCAUCGAAUCAACAGUCAAAGAUAAUGUAAAGCAGAAAAAGCUACUAGUCCAAAACAUACAGGAAAUCCAGGAUUCAAUGAGAAGAUCAAACCUAAGGAUAAUAGGUAUAGAAGAGAGUGAAGACUCCCAGCUCAAAGGACCAGUAAAUAUCUUCAACAAAAUCAUAGAAGAACACUUCCCUAAGCUAAAGAAAGAGAUACACAUAACCAUACAAGAAGUCUACAGAACUCCGAAUAGAUUGGACCAGAAAAGAAACACCUCCCGAAACAUAAUAGUGAAUGCACAAAAUAAAGAAAGAAUAUUAAAACCAGUAAGGAAAAAAGUUCAAGUAACAUAUAAAGGCAGACCUAUCAGAAUCACACCAGACUUUUCGCCAGAGACUAUGAAAGCCAGAAGAUCCUAAACAGAUGUCAUACAGACCCUAAGAGAACACAAAUGCCAGCCCAGGUUACUGUAUCCUGCAAAACUCUCAAUUAACAUACAUGUAGAAACCAAGAUGUUUCAUGACAAAACCAAAUUUACACAAUAUCUUUCUACGAAUCCAGCACUACAAAGGAUAAUAAAUGGUAAAGCCCAACAUAAAGAGGCAAGCUACACCCUAGAAAAAGCAAGAAACUAAUCAUCUUGACAACAAAACAAAGAGAAGAAAAGUACACAAACAUAACCUCACAUCCAAAUAUUAAUAUAACAGGAAGCAAUAAUCACUAUUCCUUAAUAUCUCUCAACAUCAAUGGCCUCAACUCCCCAAUAAAAAGACAUAGAUUAACAAACUGGAUACGCAAUGAGGACCCUGCAUUUUGCUGCCUAUAGGAAACACACCUCAGAGACAAAGACAGAAACUAUCUCAGAGUGAAAGGCAAGAAAACAACUUUCCAAGCAAAUGGUCGUAAGAAGCAAGCUGGAGUAGCCAUUCUAAUAUCGAAUAAAAUAAAUUUUCAACUAAAAUUCAUCGAAAAAGAUAAGGAAGGACACUUCAUAUUCAUCAAAGGAAAAAUCCACCAAGAUGAACUCUCAAUCCUAACUAUCUAUGCUGCAAAUACAAGGGCACCUACAUAUGUAAAAGAAACCUUACUAAAGCUCAAAACACACAUUGCACCUCACACAAUAAUAGUAGGAGAUUUCAACACCCCACUCUCAUCAAUGGACAGAUCAUGGAAACAGAAAUUAAACAGAGACAUAGACAGACUAAGAGAAGUCAUGAGCCAAAUGGACCUAACGGAUAUUUAUAGAACAUUCUAUCCUAAAGCAAAAGUAUAUACCUUCUUCUCAGCUCCUCAUGGUACUUUAUCCAAAAUUAACCAUAUAAUUGGUCAAAAAACGGGCCUCAACAGGUACACAAAGAUAGAAAUAAUCCCAUGCGUGCUAUCGGACCACCACAGCCUAAAACUGGUCUUCAAUAACAAUAAGAGAAGAACGCCCACAUAUACGUGGAAAUUGAACAAUGCUCUACUCAAUGAUAACCUGGUCAAGGAAGAAAUAAAGAAAGAAAUUAAAAACUUUUUAGAAUUUAAUGAAAAUAAAGAUACAACGUACCCAAACUUAUGGGACACAAUGAAAGCUGUGCUAAGAGGAAAACUCAUAGCGCUGAGUGCCUGCAGAAAGAAACAGGAGAGAGCAUAUGUCAGCAGCUUGACAGCACACCUAAAAGCUCUAGAACAAAAUGAAGCAAAUACACCCAGGAGGAGUAGAAGACAGAAAAUAAUCAAACUCAGAGCUGAAAUCAGCCAGGUAGAAACAAAAAGGACCAUAGAAAGAAUCAACAGAACCAAAAGUUGGUUCUCUGAGAAAAGCAACAAGAUAGAUAAACCCUUAGCCAGACUAACGAGAGGACACAGAAAGUGUUUCCAAAUUAACAAAAUAUGAAAUGAAAAGGGAGACAUAACUACAAAUUCAGUGGAAAUUCAAAAAAUCAUCAGAUCUUAAUAUAAAAGCCUAUAUUCAACAAAACUUGAAAAUCUGAAGGAAAUGGACAAUUUCUAGACAGAUACCAGGUACCGAAGUUAAAUCAGGAACAGAUAAACCCCUUAAACAACCCCAUAACUCCUAAGGAAAUAGAAGCAGUCAUUAAAUGUCUCCUACCCAAAAAGAGCCCAGGACCAGACCGGUUUAGUGCAGAAUUCUAUCAGACCUUCAUAGACGACCUCAUACCAAUAUUACCCAAACUAUUCCACAAAUUGAAGCAGAUGGAGCACUACCGAAUUCCUUCUAUGAAGCCACAAUUACUCUUAUACCUAAACCA
This is a non-coding RNA of Rattus norvegicus (Norway rat), 6608 nucleotides long. The record is from RefSeq and is a predicted model, not a curated record. Lineage: Eukaryota; Metazoa; Chordata; Mammalia; Rodentia; Muridae.